RNA transcript from Pundamilia nyererei, 3484 nucleotides. It is a transcript of the gene named phosphatidylinositol-4-phosphate 5-kinase, type I, alpha, a, with no coding region annotated. The transcript is spliced from 17 exons. The record is from RefSeq and is a predicted model, not a curated record. NCBI's taxonomy places the organism in Eukaryota, Metazoa, Chordata, Actinopteri, Cichliformes, Cichlidae.
CAGACUAGCAGCCCAAACAAAACUGCCGCUUCCGCACUGCUUCCUUGUUUAUUUGUUUUGAGGAAAACACCGCCUUUAUAAAAGAAUAAAAAGUAUUUUUUUAAUUGAAUUAGAAGCUAUAAGAACGUCUAAACACGAUUUUCUGGUCCACGCCUUGCUGAACUGACGUCACCGAUACAUUUGAAGCUAAGGGGUGAAUAAAGACCCCCAGUUUCCUCCAAAGCAAGUCCAGAGUGUAGUUUCUUGUCUGAAUGGCCACAGCUGCAGAAGAGCCUCCAGGGCUACAGGGCCAGACUGGCAACUUGAAUGGGUCUCGAAAAAAUGCUUCAGCUGAGGGUCCAAGUGCUAGCACAUCUCAGGCUUUGAAAAAAAUCGGGCAUCGUGGGAUCGAUCCCACUGGGGAGACGACGUACAAGAAGACAACAUCAUCAGCUCUGAAAGGUGCUAUCCAGUUAGGCAUCACGCACACGAUAGGCAGCUUAAGUCAAAAACCUGAAAGAGAUGUGCUGCUGCAGGACUUUGAGGUGGUGGAGAGCAUCUUCUUCCCCUGUGAGGGUAGUAACCUGACACCGGCACACCACUAUGGAGACUUCAGGUUCAAAACAUACGCCCCAAUGGCCUUCCGCUACUUCAGAGAGAUGUUUGGCAUCCGGCCCGAUGACUACAUGUAUUCUCUGUGUAACGAGUCGCUGAUCGAGCUGUCCAACUCCGGGGCGAGUGGAUCCUUGUUCUACGUCUCUAGAGAUGAUGAGUAUAUCAUCAAGACGGUGCAGCACAAAGAGGCAGAAUUUCUGCAGAAACUGCUGCCUGGAUACUUCAUGAACCUGAACCAGAACAAGCGGACCUUAUUACCAAAGUUUUAUGGGCUGUAUUGCGUCCAGUCAGCUGGUAAAAACAUCCGCAUUGCAGUCAUGAAUAAUCUGCUUCCUUGUGCAGUACGAAUGCACCUCAAGUAUGAUCUAAAGGGCUCUACCUACAAGCGACGAGCCUCGGCUAAAGAAAGAGAAAAGGCUGUACCCACAUAUAAGGACCUGGAUUUCAUCCAGGACAUGCCUGAAGGGCUCUCGUUGGACGCUGAUAAGUACAAUGCUCUUUGCAAGACCCUCCAGAGAGACUGCUUGCUCCUGCAGAGUUUCAAGAUUAUGGAUUACAGCCUUCUGGUGGGAAUUCAUAACGUAGAUCAGGCCUGUCAGGAGCAGGCCAACGAGGAGGCGGGGGCUGGGGAAAAGGGUCAAGUUCAAAAGGCUCUGUACAGCACGGCUAUAGAGGCCAUUCAAGCAGAGGUGGGACGCAUGGGAUCCAUGGAAACCGAGGACAGAACGGGAGGAAUCCCUGCACGAAACUCGAAAGGCGAGAGGCUGCUGGUGUACAUCGGUAUUAUUGACAUUCUUCAGUCUUAUAGAUUGGCAAAGAAGCUUGAACACUCCUGGAAGGCUCUGGUUCAUGAUGGGGACACUGUAUCAGUGCACAGACCGGGUUUCUAUGCCGAGCGAUUUCAGAAGUUUAUGUGCAACACAGUGUUUAGAAAGAAUGCAUUGAAGACCUCCCCUUCUAAGAAGCGCCGUGCAGGAGCCGGUCCUGUGAAAAGAGCGGCUGGCUCUGGACCUUCUCUGAUGACCCAAGCUAGCAGCAGCAGCACCGCCCAGAGUCCUUUGCUCCAACAUCAAGCCAGUUCAGACACCAGAGAGGACAGCGAAGCAGACAAAAUUAUGCUCGCAGGUCGUCCUGACCUCCUCCCAGAUACCAUUCCUCCACGCAACCCUGUUGCUAGCGCUGUUGAAACUGCCAUCUCCUCCUUGGGAAGCCCCAGAUUUUUACCAGCAAGUCGUCUUCAGUCUAACACUCGGGGAGAAUCUUCGAACAAGCAAAACGAGGAAGACAGUACCCCCAAGGGGGCUCAGUCUAGGACUCUUGAAGAAAGUGGUGCUGAGGAAGCAAUCUCACUCAGCGACGUAGUCCCGUGUGUAAGCAGCUGCUCAGUGUAGAUGUGAGGAAAAAGAAUGACUUGAAGGAUGUUCUGAGCCUUCCUGAAAUCUUAUAACUCCCUUGGUAUGAUUUGAGCUGAAGCUAAUGUGGCCUUUAGCUGUCCUGCAGUAAGUCUGACCUUUCCAAUUUAGAUUAUAAUAGUAGCUCUCAAUAUAGUUCAACUUUUGUGAAAAUCCUGUGUUAAGAGAGGUGUGUGUUUAACUUUGUGAUAUGUUUGGAGGGUGUUUGUGCUGCUUCACAGGACACAGUGCACACCAGCACAGUGUGCACUGUUGGUAUAAUGCUGUUGCGCUUUUGUGACAAGAACAGCAUCGCUGACCAGCGUAACACCUGAAACAAACCCUCGCUGUCAAGGAGUUGCGGAGCUGCAGCAGUUUACGAGUUGCUGAUGAGCAUCGUGCGCAAAGAAAGCAUCUACUUCUAAAUUCAGACAUGACUGUCACCUGUACUUUGUGUGGGAUUUUUGUGUUUGUUUUUAAUUGAUUGUGUUAGUUUUUAAGUGAUUUUAUUUUUCAAAUCUAACAGCACAGGAAACUUUUCUAAAUGAACGUUUCAAAAUGUGUGGUGGAAUAGUUGGACCUACUUAAGUGUUAUUGUUGUUUUCGGUCUUUGUGGCCACUGAAAACAAGGGCAGGAUGUGCAAAAAAAAGAAAGUGAGUAAUAUAGAAUUGGUAGGAGCUUUGGCUGCUGAAUAUCUGAACUAUAAUCAUUGGUGGUACUGCAUUUUCUUUUCCACUAUUUACAUUUAUUUGCUGCCAGAAGCAAACUAAAUAAAACUGCAACUAUAUAUGACGGCUUCUAUAUACUUUCUAACUGAUUUAUGAUGUGCUGUCUUUGGUUAUUUUAUCAUUAUGCAUUCCUGUCCAUUCGCUUUUUACUCAUGCAUUCAGCAUUUCCUAAUUGCUACUAAUAUUUUUUGUCUAUAUUUAUUACAAUCUUAAUAUAACUUGUUGGUGCAAUUUCCCACAGGCUUUAGCAUUUCCCUCAACCUCUUAUUAAAUUCUGAUAUUGAUCUGUUGAUGUUGUCUUAUGAUUGUAAACCUCUCAGCAGGACCUGUAAAUCCAGGGUUAACAGAGCCGGUGGUGUUGAUUUUGUUAGGUAAAGCUAAGAGUAGUGAGACUGAAAACUGAGGGGUACCUAUUAUGGUUUAACUGCUAUUUUUUCAUUAGUUAAAUGGUGAUGGCUGCCUGAUGUGUAAAGGUGGACGCUAGCCUACCUUUUCAUAAGCUACAGUGGAGAUAAAGAGCUUACACACCUCUGUUAAAAUGCCAGGAUUUGCUGAUGUUAGCGUAAAAUUAUACCAAGAUAUUUGCAGGUUUUUUUCCACCUUUAAUGCGAUCUAUAACCUGUACAGUGGAACUAAAACUUAAAGUUUGUUGGAGCAUACAGAAUUCUUUCAGGGGGGGUACAUCUCAACUUUCUUCUUUGCAAAAAGCACUCCAAAUCUAACAGACUGUGAGGGUGUCUCCUCUGCACAGCCCCCUUUAGGUCAACCUG